Long non-coding RNA from Drosophila santomea, 639 nucleotides. RefSeq lists it as uncharacterized. The transcript has 2 exons. NCBI's taxonomy places the organism in Eukaryota, Metazoa, Arthropoda, Insecta, Diptera, Drosophilidae. The record is from RefSeq and is a predicted model, not a curated record.
GGAAAUCUGCAACUGUCUUCGGAUUUCUUGGCAUCUCAUAUGCAAAGCAGUGGAAAAGAGCCGACGAAGAUGUCAAUAAAUCUGCCGCUUUGGCCUUGUUUUGCAUUUCCGCUAACAGAGAGACAAAAACGCAGUCAUCCUCUCGGCAUCCCGAUCUCCCGAUCUCUGGACUCUAGACUCUGGACUCCAAUUCAAUCCAACUCGAAUCCCCAGCCAGCACACGCAAGCCAGCAAGCAAAACAGGUAAACAGGUCGGGAACGAGACUGAGUCCGAGUAUCAACAGCAGAUCCAGAUACAGUAGCCCCACGUCAAAACGAGAAAAUCAAUAAAUAAGAAAAUCACAAACCCACUGCGAAACUUGAUCUCGAACAGGAUGGACUCCAGAACGGGCAUCGAAUCGCAUCGCAUCGCAUCGAAUCGAAUCGAAUUGAAUCGAGAAGAUCAGCUAGAGAUCAGACAAGGAACAUCGGAUGGAGCUGGCCAAAGAUUCCUGUCCAGGCACGAACUUUGUUUUGAUAAUUUCUGCUGGGCAUCUGCUGGGACUCCUGAAAUUCAUUAUUUUAUUCGUGUCUCGUUGGCUUCUUAUUUUAUUUCGAUUUAACUCGCAGUUCAUUAAAAUUUCGUUUUCGGCUAAUAAA